AUGGCCGUGACGCUAUGGUCAAUUUGGUAUGCUAGGCGCAAGGCAGUCUACGAGGCCAUAUUUCAGAGUCCGGAACAUACUGUUUCUUUCAUAAAUAACUUCAUUGCGGAACUAGGGCAAGUGCAAACUAAAGAUGAAGGAAGAAGAACCCCGGGCGUUCCCUCUGUACAGGUGAACAGGUGGCUGCCUCCCCCGACUGGCACCGUCAAGGUGAACGUGGAUGGGGCAGUAGCUAGGUCACGCCAUGGAGGAGCGGUCGCAGUAGUGUGCAGAGAUGAGACAGGCCUAUAUCUCGGAUCAUCGGCUAUCGUUAUCCAAGGUAUAAAUGACCACGUGGUCUUGGAGACCUAUGCGUGUCGUGAAGCCUUAUCUUUGGCGGAUGAUCUUGCAGUACAGUCUAUAUGCGUUGCCUCGGAUUGCCAGGGAGUCGUGACUGAUAUUGAGAAAGGAACCGGAGGCACAAAUGCUGCUAUAGUGCAUGAGAUCAAAAUUCAUUGUAAUAGCUUUACUUCUUGUUUUUUCAUCCAUGAGCGUAGGAACCAUAAUUAUGAGGCUCAUAAUCUCGCCAAGUUUGCUUGUAAUCUAGAUGUAGGUAGACAUGUUUGGUUGGGCAUUCCUCACGACCCAAACCGUGUACCUAUGACAUUUGCUGAUAAUUAA
Molecule: ribosomal RNA, 660 nt
Filed under: Triticum aestivum (bread wheat)
Lineage: Eukaryota; Viridiplantae; Streptophyta; Magnoliopsida; Poales; Poaceae
Description: partial small subunit ribosomal RNA
Source: RNAcentral